This is a non-coding RNA of Lentithecium fluviatile CBS 122367, 105 nucleotides long. Lineage: Eukaryota; Fungi; Ascomycota; Dothideomycetes; Pleosporales; Lentitheciaceae. The record is from the annotation of a GenBank genome assembly.
GCCCGGUUAGCUCAAUCGGUAGAGCGUGAGACUCUUAGUAUUCACGGUCUAAAACCACGAUUUCGCGGCAUCUCAAGGUUGCGGGUUCGACCCCCGCAUCGGGCU